GGACAAAUCUGGUUUGUUGCAAGUUCCCAUUUUCUUUUUCUUCUGUUUACAUGGUUAAUUCUAGUCCCUCAAUUCCACGAAUCAGUAUAUGAAGUGGUUACGUUUUUAUUAAUCUGGGAAGCAAUGUUUUCAUCAUUGCAUUUGUUACAGAUUUGAAGGCUUUAUUUCUAUACUUUGGUGGUAGGGUUCAUUUUUUACAUAAACGGCAUAUUUUACAAUGUUUUUAUUCUUUAACACUGAAUAUAAACUAUUUCAGUGAUUAAAUUUCCUAACCUAUUUUACAAUUUAUUCUUUUUUAACACUUAGAAUAAACAGUUCACAGGGACACUUAUUUGGCAGAUCUUAAAUUGUUUAUUCAAUGAGAUCUUUUUUUCAUCCUUCGUGUGGUUUUCUUUUGUUGUUAGUUUUGGAAGACCAUCUUAAUUUUUGCCCCUCCUUUCUAUUGUUAUGCUUCCAUACCUCUUCAAAAUAGUGGGUGCGGGGACUCAGAUUAACAUUUCAUGCGGUAGUAAUUGUUGGUGCAUUAUACAUAUACUUGUCUUCUAACUCAAUGCAUGACUUUUAUAUGCAGUGUUUGGAUAGGGGGUAGUAUAUUGGCAUCUCUUGGCUCCUUCCAGCAAAUGUGGUUCUCCAAAUCCGAGUAUGAGGAGCAUGGAGCUUCAUAUAUCCAAAGGAAGUGUCCGUGAGUUGCUGUUGUACAAGUUUAUUUCACUGCCUUUUAUGUUGGUGACUUAAGGAAGUGCUAUGAACGCUGAAGUAGUGUUUGUCUACUGACGGAUUUUUCUUUUCUAUUUGAUGGCCAUUCCCAUUAGAUCCCAUUCUAACUAAAUUAUUGGCUUCAAUUGAAUCACAGAUCCCCUAUGACUAAUCUGUAAUGAUGUAAAGUGUGCCUAGAGUCUGUAACAAUGCCUCAUUUAUUAAAUUAGAUUUAUCUUCUGUGUA
Vigna umbellata (rice bean) is the source of this 942-nucleotide non-coding RNA. Lineage: Eukaryota; Viridiplantae; Streptophyta; Magnoliopsida; Fabales; Fabaceae. The record is from RefSeq and is a predicted model, not a curated record.